Molecule: non-coding RNA, 708 nt
Organism: Coffea arabica (coffee)
Lineage: Eukaryota; Viridiplantae; Streptophyta; Magnoliopsida; Gentianales; Rubiaceae
Source: RefSeq, a predicted model, not a curated record
UCUGUCUUCUCUGCUCAUUAAUUUGCAGGUGUUCUCCGACUCCAUCGGUCUCUCUCUAAUACACGUCACUAACUAUUUUCAGCGAGAGGUUAAAAAUGGUAAUUAAUUGUAGUUAAAUUAAGCAAUCCAAAAUUAGAGCCGGAUUCUAUUUCUAUGGAAUGUUAGAUAGAAUAGGGAAAGAAUUGCCGUGCAAACUUGAGAGUGCCAUUUAUCACCUGAGGAUUAAAGGGUUCCACUGCAAACUAGAAACCCAGCUGAAUAUUGAAAGAUGUCCGUCAAUGCAGAUACAGAUUCACCAGAAUAUUGAAACAUCAGACUGGCAAUUUUAAACAUCAGAUGAAGGGUGCAGCUACUACAUUCCGUAAUGAACAUGAUCCAUUUGAUUUUAUAAGAUUUUUAUAUGAGGGUGCUGUAGCUGGAGCCACAGCUGGUGUUGUCGUUGAAUCUGUUCUGUACCCAAUUGACACCAUCAAAACAAGACUUCAAGCAGGCAGUUCAUGGUGGAGGAAAGAUCAUAUUAAGGGGUCUUUACUCCGGAUUGGCUGGAAAUCUUGUUGGGGUCUUACCGUAAGUACUUAUAACUGCAACUGCUGUUUUUCUUGUGCUCUACGAGAAACAGAUAGAUGAUAAUGUCAUACAAUGCAGUCUAAAGUUGAUUUGAGCAACCUUGAUUAUGUAGAUUGGGUAUAGAGGCUGCAAUUAUAUUGA